RNAcentral lists this ribosomal RNA (439 nucleotides) under uncultured bacterium. RNAcentral describes it as "partial 16S ribosomal RNA". It matches the Rfam family "Bacterial small subunit ribosomal RNA", at positions 338 to 795 of the family's 1533-position model. The record is from RNAcentral.
CCUACGGGAGGCAGCAGUGGGGGAUAUUGCACAAUGGGGGGAACUCUGAUGCAGCGACGCCGCGUGAGCGAUGGAGUACUUCGGUAUGUAAAGCUCUGUCAGCAGGGAAGAAAAUGACGGUACCUGACCAAGAAGCCCCGGCAAAAUACGUGCCAGCAGCCGCGGUACUACGUAUGGGGCAAGCGUUAUCCGGAUUUAUUGGGUUUAAGGGGUGCGUAGGCGGAAUAUCAAGUCCGCGGUAAAAAUUCGGGGCUCAACCCCGUCGUGCCGUUGAAACUGAUGUUCUUGAGUGGGCUAGAGGUAUGCGGAAUGCGUGGUGUAGCGGUGAAAUGCAUAGAGAUCACGCAGAACUCCGAUUGCGAAGGCAGCAUACCGGCGCCCAACUGACGCUGAAGCACGAAAGCGUGGGUAUCGAACAGGAUUAGAUACCCCUGUAGUC